CCAGCAGCCGCGGUAAUUCCAGCUCUACUAGCAUAUAUUAAAUUUGCUGCAGUUAAAACGCUCGUAGUUUGAGUUAUUGGGGCGGCUGUGGUUGGGGUGGUUUAUUCUGCCCCGGCCAGAGGCGUCUCAUUACAUCCUGGGGCGGGUUGUUAAGUCAGCUCGUCUCAAUUAGACCGUGAACAAAUGGUGAGGCUUAAACAGAGGGCAAUUGGCUCGUUUAGCCUUUUAGCAUGGGAUCUUAGAAUAUGGAAGGGAGGGGAGGGGGAGUGGGAGACCGCUUUUUCUUGUCUUUCUUCAAUGGUUAAUGAGGGUAAACGGGGAAGUUAAUAUUGAGUGGCUAGAGGUGAAAUUCUUGGAUUCACUCAAGAUUAACAUCAGCGAAGGCAUUCUUCAAGAAUACGCCUGU
RNAcentral lists this ribosomal RNA (406 nucleotides) under uncultured eukaryote. Its description in RNAcentral is "SSU rRNA". It matches the Rfam family "Eukaryotic small subunit ribosomal RNA", at positions 567 to 973 of the family's 1831-position model. The record is from RNAcentral.